This 434-nucleotide unclassified non-coding RNA is filed under the name soil metagenome. RNAcentral describes it as "partial contains 5.8S ribosomal RNA, internal transcribed spacer 2, and large subunit ribosomal RNA". The stretch from base 1 to 120 matches the Rfam family "5.8S ribosomal RNA", at positions 35 to 154 of the family's 154-position model. The record is from RNAcentral.
GAUGAAGAACGUAGCGAAAUGCGAUACGUAAUGUGAAUUGCAGAAUUCAGUGAAUCAUCGAAUCUUUGAACGCAUAUUGCGCUCUUUGGUAUUCCGAAGAGCAUGCUUGUUUGAGUAUCAGUAAACACCUCAAAGCUUUUGGAUUUUUUAAUCGAAAAGCUUUGGACUUGAGCAAUCCCAACACCAAUCUUUUUGAGAUCGGUGGCGGGUUGCUUGAAAUGCAGGUGCAGCUGGACAUUCUCCUGAGAUAAAAGCAUAUUCAUUUAGUCCCGUCAAACGGAUUAUUACUUUUGCUGCAGCUAACAUAAAGGGAGUUUGACCGUAUUGGCUGACUGAUGCAGGAUUUCACAAGGGUCGGCAACGAUUCUUGUUAAACUCGAUCUCAAAUCAAGUAAGACUACCCGCUGAACUUAAGCAUAUCAAUAAGCGGAGGA